RNAcentral lists this ribosomal RNA (327 nucleotides) under uncultured eukaryote. Its description in RNAcentral is "partial 18S ribosomal RNA". It matches the Rfam family "Eukaryotic small subunit ribosomal RNA", at positions 1470 to 1796 of the family's 1831-position model. The record is from RNAcentral.
CCCUUAGAUGUUCUGGGCCGCACGCGCGCUACACUGACGAAUGCAACGAGCUUAUAACCUUGGCCGAAAGGUCUGGGUAAUCUCCAAAUUUCGUCGUGAUGGGGAUGGAUUAUUGCAAUUAUUAAUCUUCAACGAGGAAUGCCUAGUAAGCGCAAGUCAUCAGCUUGCGUUGAUUACGUCCCUGCCCUUUGUACACACCGCCCGUCGCUCCUACCGAUUGAAUGGUCCGGUGAAAAUUUUGGAUUGAUGUUUCGUCGGGUUAACGCCAGACUUUACGUUGAGAAGUUAUUCAAACCUUACCAUUUAGAGGAAGGUGAAGUCGUAACA